UACGUAGGGUGCAAGCGUUAAUCGGAAUUACUGGGCGUAAAGCGUGCGCAGGCGGUUAUGUAAGACAGGUGUGAAAUCCCCGGGCUUAACCUGGGAACUGCAUUUGUGACUGCAUAGCUAGAGUACGGUAGAGGGGGAUGGAAUUCCGCGUGUAACAGUGAAAUGCGUAGAUAUGCGGAGGAACACCGAUGGCGAAGGCAAUCCCCUGGACCUGUACUGACGCUCAUGCACGAAAGCGUGGGGAGCAAACAGG
Molecule: ribosomal RNA, 253 nt
Filed under: uncultured bacterium
Lineage: Bacteria
Description: partial 16S ribosomal RNA
Rfam family: Bacterial small subunit ribosomal RNA
Source: RNAcentral